UUCCGGUUGAUCCUGCCGGACCUUACUGCUAUCGGGGUGGGACUAAGACAUGCGAGUCGAGCGUCUCUAGCUAUGUUGAGGCGCGGCAGACGGCUCAGUAACACGUGGCUAACCUACCCUCAGGACGAGGAUAAACCCGGGAAACUGGGGCUAAUACUCGAUAGGUGAGAAUGUCUGGAAUGAUUUCUCACUCAAAGGGCCUUGGGAACAUGCUUCCAAUGUCGCCUGGGGAUGGGGCCGCGUCCGAUCAGGUUGUUGGUGAGGUAAUGGCUCACCAAGCCUAUAACCGGUACGGGCCGUGAGAGCGGUAGCCCGGAGAUGGGUACUGAGACAAGGACCCAGGCCCUACGGGGCGCAGCAGUCGCGAAAACUCCGCAAUGCACGAAAGUGUGACGGGGCUACCCCGAGUGCCAUCCGCUGAGGAUGGCUUUUCCUUGGUAUAACUAGCCGAGGGAAUAAGGAGAGGGCAAGACUGGUGUCAGCCGCCGCGGUAAUACCAGCUCUCCGAGUGGUAGGGAUGAUUAUUGGGCUUAAAGCGUCCGUAGCCGGCUUAGCAAGUCUCCUGUUAAAUUCAGCGACCUAAUCGUUGAGCCGCGGGAGAUACUACUAUGCUAGGAGGCGGGAGAGGUCGACGGUACUUCUGGGGUAGGGGUGAAAUCCUAUAAUCCCGGGAGGACCACCAGUGGCGAAGGCUGUCGACUAGAACGCGCUCGACGGUGAGGGACGAAAGCUGGGGGAGCGAACCGGAUUAGAUACCCGGGUAGUCCCAGCCGUAAACGAUGCGGGCUAGGUGUUGGAAUGGCUACGUGCCAUUUCAGUGCCGCAGGGAAGCCAUUAAGCCCGCCGCCUGGGGAGUACGGCCGCAAGGCUGAAACUUAAAGGAAUUGGCGGGGG
RNAcentral lists this ribosomal RNA (894 nucleotides) under uncultured archaeon. Its description in RNAcentral is "bacterial SSU rRNA". It matches the Rfam family "Archaeal small subunit ribosomal RNA", at positions 1 to 874 of the family's 1478-position model. The record is from RNAcentral.